GGGAGGGGAUUAGUGGCGAACGGGUGAGUAACACGUGGGCAAUCUGCCCUUCACUCUGGGACAAGCCCUGGAAACGGGGUCUAAUACCGGAUACGACACACGACCGCAUGGUCUGUGUGUGGAAAGCUCCGGCGGUGAAGGAUGAGCCCGCGGCCUAUCAGCUUGUUGGUGGGGUGAUGGCCUACCAAGGCGACGACGGGUAGCCGGCCUGAGAGGGCGACCGGCCACACUGGGACUGAGACACGGCCCAGACUCCUACGGGAGGCAGCAGUGGGGAAUAUUGCACAAUGGGCGAAAGCCUGAUGCAGCGACGCCGCGUGAGGGAUGACGGCCUUCGGGUUGUAAACCUCUUUCAGCAGGGAAGAAGCGAGAGUGACGGUACCUGCAGAAGAAGCGCCGGCUAACUACGUGCCAGCAGCCGCGGUAAUACGUAGGGCGCAAGCGUUGUCCGGAAUUAUUGGGCGUAAAGAGCUCGUAGGCGGCUUGUCACGUCGGAUGUGAAAGCCCGGGGCUUAACCCCGGGUCUGCAUUCGAUACGGGCAGGCUAGAGUUCGGUAGGGGAGAUCGGAAUUCCUGGUGUAGCGGUGAAAUGCGCAGAUAUCAGGAGGAACACCGGUGGCGAAGGCGGAUCUCUGGGCCGAU
This 642-nucleotide ribosomal RNA is filed under the name Streptomyces sp. SCAU5281. Its description in RNAcentral is "bacterial SSU rRNA". It matches the Rfam family "Bacterial small subunit ribosomal RNA", at positions 83 to 738 of the family's 1533-position model. Lineage: Bacteria; Bacillati; Actinomycetota; Actinomycetes; Kitasatosporales; Streptomycetaceae. The record is from RNAcentral.